GAUGAACGCUAGCGGCAGGCCUAACACAUGCAAGUCGAGGGGUAGAGUUCUUCGGGACUUGAGACCGGCGCACGGGUGCGUAACGCGUAUGCAAUCUACCUUAUACAGGGGAAUAGCCCAGAGAAAUUUGGAUUAAUGCCCCAUAGUGUUAUCGAAUCGCAUGGUUUGAUAACUAAAGUUCCAACGGUAUAAGAUGAGCAUGCGUCCCAUUAGUUAGUUGGUAAGGUAACGGCGUUACCUAAGAACAAUAAUAGGUAGGGGUCCGUGAGAGGGAGGA
Molecule: ribosomal RNA, 277 nt
Filed under: uncultured bacterium
Lineage: Bacteria
Description: partial 16S ribosomal RNA
Rfam family: Bacterial small subunit ribosomal RNA
Source: RNAcentral